UAAGAGUCAAAAAAAUUUACAAAUAUACGAAAUGUAAAAAACUAUUACUGAAAAUAUGUGACAGAUAGUAGAGAUAAAUAUUCUUGAUCAGGAUCCAUCCGGAAACUAUAAAAGCUAGACGAUUAAUAUUAAGCAUGCAGAUUUCGAUGACCACACCUCAGAAAACGUUUUAGAACACUUCUGGCAUCCCCAUUUAACACAACAGAUGAAAAAUGUUUAGUUAAGUGGUAAGGGCUCGAAAUUUCUUGAACCGGCAUAGUUUCUCCUGCGACUUGAUGCCCGCUUUUCCUCCCGAGCCUGCUGCUCCGUCUGCCAAAUGGCACGGAAAUCCUCGCACUGGGGCGAGUUGGUGUGCUCCUGCUGCAGUGCAGCCAUUUCUGGCUG
Long non-coding RNA from Drosophila simulans, 384 nucleotides. RefSeq lists it as uncharacterized. The record is from RefSeq and is a predicted model, not a curated record. Lineage: Eukaryota; Metazoa; Arthropoda; Insecta; Diptera; Drosophilidae. The transcript is spliced from 3 exons.